This 3276-nucleotide small RNA is filed under the name Pongo abelii (Sumatran orangutan). RNAcentral's name for it is "retained intron". Lineage: Eukaryota; Metazoa; Chordata; Mammalia; Primates; Hominidae. The record is from RNAcentral.
CAAUAUGGAAACAGAACAUGGCUCAAAAAUGAGAAAAAGCAUAGAAAUAAUUUAUGCAAUUACAUCUGUGAUUCUUGCUUCUGUAUCUGUAAUAAAUGAAAGUGAGAACUACGAAGCCCUACUGGAAUGUGUUAUUAUAUUAAAUGGUAUUUUAUAUGCAUUACCUGAGUCUGAACGAAAACUACAGAGUUCUAUUCAGGAUUUGUGUGUUACCUGGUGGGAGAAAGGCCUGCCUGCCAAGGAAGACACAGGAAAGACAGCCUUUGUCAUGUUACUAAGGAGGAGUCUGGAGACUAAGACAGGUGCAGACAUAUGUCGGCUUUGGCGUAUCCAUCAAGCUUUAUAUUGCUUUGAUUAUGAUUUGGAGGAAAGUGGAGAAAUUAAAGAUAUGUUACUUGAGUGCUUCAUAAAUAUUAAUUAUAUCAAGAAAGAAGAGGGAAGAAGAUUUCUUAGUUGUCUCUUCAACUGGAAUAUAAACUUUAUCAAAAUGAUCCAUGGGACCAUUAAAAACCAGUUACAGGGAUUACAAAAGUCUUUGAUGGUAUACAUUGCAGAAAUUUAUUUCAGAGCUUGGAAAAAGGCUUCAGGGAAAAUACUGGAGACGAUUGAAAAUGAUUGCAUCCAGGACUUCAUGUUCCACGGGAUACACCUUCCGAGGAGGUCUCCAGUGCAUUCCAAAGUGCGGGAGGUUCUGAGUUACUUUCACCAUCAAAAGAAAGUUCGUCAGGGAGUGGAAGAGAUGCUUUAUAGAUUAUAUAAGCCCAUCCUUUGGAGAGGAUUAAAGGCCAGAAACUCUGAAGUUCGAUCAAAUGCUGCAUUGUUGUUUGUUGAAGCAUUUCCUAUUAGGGAUCCAAACCUUCAUGCUAUUGAAAUGGAUAGUGAAAUUCAGAAACAGUUUGAAGAGCUCUAUAGCCUUUUAGAAGAUCCUUACCCGAUGGUCCGUUCCACAGGGAUCCUUGGUGUGUGUAAAAUAACUUCUAAGUACUGGGAAAUGAUGCCCCCGACCAUUCUUAUUGACCUCCUGAAGAAGGUGACUGGGGAACUGGCAUUUGACACGAGCUCAGCUGAUGUUCGUUGUUCUGUCUUUAAGUGCCUGCCAAUGAUUUUGGACAACAAACUGAGCCACCCAUUGUUAGAGCAGCUCCUUCCAGCUCUCAGAUACAGUCUCCACGACAAUUCUGAGAAAGUGAGGGUGGCUUUUGUGGACAUGCUGUUGAAGAUCAAAGCUGUGAGGGCUGCUAAGUUUUGGAAAAUAUGCCCCAUGGAGCACAUUCUGGUUCGUCUGGAAACUGAUUCUCGACCUGUGUCUCGGCGCCUGGUGAGCCUCAUCUUUAAUUCUUUCCUGCCUGUGAAUCAGCCGGAGGAGGUCUGGUGCGAGCGCUGUGUCACCCUGGUGCAGAUGAACCACGCUGCUGCCAGGAGGUUCUAUCAGUACGCCCACGAACACACCGCCUGCACCAACAUAGCAAAGCUGAUUCACGUUAUUCGUCAUUGCUUAAAUGCCUGUAUCCAGAGGGCAGUGAGAGAGCCUCCAGAGGAUGAGGAGGAAGAGGACGGAAGGGAGAAGGAGAAUGUGACUGUUCUGGACAAAACACUGUCAGUAAACGAUGUUGCAUGCAUGGCAGGUUUACUAGAAAUCAUUGUGAUUCUCUGGAAAAGUAUUGACAGAAGUAUGGAAAAUAAUAAAGAGGCCAAACUUUACACCAUUAACAAGUUUGCCUCUGUGCUUCCAGAGUAUCUGAAAGUAUUUAAGGAUGAUCGCUGCAAGAUCCCUUUAUUCAUGCUAAUGUCCUUUAUGCCGGCCUCUGCUGUCCCUCCAUUCAGCUGUGGUGUGAUUUCCACGCUGAGAAGCCGGGAGGAGGGCGCUGUGGACAAGAGCUACUGCACUUUGUUGGAUUGCCUCUGCUCCUGGGGGCAGGUGGGGCACAUUCUGGAGCUUGUUGACAACUGGCUGCCCACAGAGCAUGCCCAGGCCAAGAGCAACACAGCUUCUAAACGUAAGGUGCAGAUCCAUGACACACGCCCAGUCAAACCUGAAUUGGCAUUGGUCUACAUUGAGUAUUUGCUGACUCAUCCAAAGAAUCGCGAGUGCUUGCUCUCUGCUCCUCGGAAGAAACUUAACCAUCUUUUGAAAGCCCUUGAAACGUCAAAGGCAGAUCUGGAGUCACUUCUGCAGACACCAGGUGGGAAGCCUCGUGGCUUCAGUGAAGCGGCUGCCCUGCGAGCCUUUGGUCUCCACUGUCGCCUGAGCAUCCAUCUUCAGCACAAGGUGCGCCUGCUCCUGGCCCUCUAUUAGGAUGAUAUGCAGUGCUCUUUUUGUUACUGAUUUAUCUUCUUGUUUUUGGACAGUUCUGCUCAGAAGGAAAGGUGUAUUUGUCCAUUUUGGAAGACACUGGCUUUUGGUUAGAAAGCAAAAUUUUAUCUUUUAUUCAAGAUCAAGAAGAAGACUAUCUGAAGCUUCAUAGGGUCAUUUAUCAGCAAAUUAUCCAGACCUACCUGACUGUGUGUAAAGAUGUUGUUAUGGUAGGCCUUGGUGACCAUCAGUUUCAGAUGCAACUCUUACAGCGGAGUCUUGGAAUCAUGCAAACAGUGAAGGGAUUUUUUUAUGUUUCAUUACUUCUUGACAUUCUGAAAGAGAUAACUGGAAGUUCCUUGAUUCAGAAAACGGAUUCAGAUGAAGAAGUUGCAAUGCUGUUGGACACAGUCCAGAAAGUAUUUCAGAAAAUGUUGGAAUGUAUCGCACGGAGCUUCAGGAAGCAGCCGGAAGAAGGCCUGCGGCUCCUUUAUUCUGUUCAGAGGCCUCUUCAUGAGUUCAUUACUGCUGUUCAGUCUCGGCACACAGACACCCCUGUGCAUCGGGGUGUACUUUCUACUCUGAUCGCUGGGCCUGUGGUUGAGAUAAGUCACCAGCUACGGAAGGUUUCUGACAUAGAAGAGCUAACCCCUCCAGAGCAUCUUUCUGAUCUUCCACCAUUUUCAAGGUGUUUAAUAGGAAUAAUAAUAAAGUCUUCGAAUGUGGUCAGGUCAUUUUUGGAUGAAUUAAAGGCGUGUGUGGCUUCUAAUGAUAUUGAAGGCAUUGUGUGCCUCACGGCUGCUGUGCAUAUUAUCCUGGUUAUUAAUGCAGGUAAACACAAAAGCUCAAAAGUGAGGGAGGUUGCAGCCACCGUUCACAGAAAACUAAAGACAUUCAUGGAAAUUACUUUGGAAGAGGAUAGCAUUGAAAGAUUUCUCUAUGAAUCAUCAUCAAGAACUCUGGGAGAACUUUUGAAUUCAUAA